GGAUCAGUUGAUCGGUCGUGCCUCGGUACGUACUGGUCAAAUUGAUUCCUACCUUCUGACGAACCACGAUGUCAUUAAUUUGGUGUCGCGGGAAAUCAGGACUGUUACUUUGAAAAAAUUAGAGUGUUUAAAGCAGGCUCGCGCUUGAAUACAUUAGCAUGGAAUAAUGAAAUAGGACGUUUGAUUCUAUUUUGUUGGUUUCUAGGAUCGACGUA
This 215-nucleotide ribosomal RNA is filed under the name uncultured Glomus. RNAcentral describes it as "partial 18S ribosomal RNA". The stretch from base 42 to 215 matches the Rfam family "Eukaryotic small subunit ribosomal RNA", at positions 689 to 864 of the family's 1831-position model. The record is from RNAcentral. Lineage: Eukaryota; Fungi; Glomeromycota; Glomeromycetes; Glomerales; Glomeraceae.